AACGAACGCUGGCGGCAUGCCUAACACAUGCAAGUCGAACGAGAGGGCCCCGCAAGGGGCUAGUAAAGUGGCGCACGGGUGAGUAACACGUGGGUAAUCUGCCUUUUAGUUUGGGAUAACCCUUCGAAAGAAGGGCUAAUACCGGAGAGACCACAGGGACAUCAGUCCUAGGGGUUAAAGAUUGGGACCGUAAGGCCAAUCGCUAUUAGAUGAGCCCGCGCACUAUCAGCUAGUUGGUGAGGUAAUGGCUCACCAAGGCUAUGACGGUUAGCUGGUCUGAGAGGAUGAUCAGCCACACUGGAACUGAGACACGGUCCAGACUCCUACGGGAGGCAGCAGUGGGGAAUCUUGCACAAUGGGCGAAAGCCUGAUGCAGCAAUGCCGCGUGAGUGAUGAAGGCCCUAGGGUUGUAAAACUCUUUCGUGGGGGACGAUAAUGACGGUACCCCGAAGAAGAAGCUCCGGCUAA
RNAcentral lists this ribosomal RNA (468 nucleotides) under uncultured bacterium. Its description in RNAcentral is "bacterial SSU rRNA". It matches the Rfam family "Bacterial small subunit ribosomal RNA", at positions 29 to 500 of the family's 1533-position model. The record is from RNAcentral.